GACGUAGGGCGCGAGCGUUGUCCGGAUUUAUUGGGCGUAAAGAGCUCGUAGGCGGCUUGUCGCGUCGUCCGUGAAAACUUGGGGCUCAACCCCAAGCUUGCGGUCGAUACGGGCAGGCUCGAGUUCGGUAGGGGAGACUGGAAUUCCCGGUGUAGCGGUGAAAUGCGCAGAUAUCGGGAGGAACACCGGUGGCGAAGGCGGUUCUCUGGGCCUGUACUGACGCUGAGGAGCGAAAGCGUGGGGGAGCAAACAGG
RNAcentral lists this ribosomal RNA (254 nucleotides) under uncultured bacterium. Its description in RNAcentral is "partial 16S ribosomal RNA". It matches the Rfam family "Bacterial small subunit ribosomal RNA", at positions 524 to 776 of the family's 1533-position model. The record is from RNAcentral.